Long non-coding RNA from Canis lupus familiaris (dog), 1092 nucleotides. RefSeq lists it as uncharacterized. Lineage: Eukaryota; Metazoa; Chordata; Mammalia; Carnivora; Canidae. The record is from RefSeq and is a predicted model, not a curated record. The transcript is spliced from 4 exons.
UUGGAAGCAGGGAGCAACCAGCUCGGCUUUCCGGCUUUCCGGGUUGGAGGAGCUCGCGUGCGGAAUGGGCUGGGGUGGGGAGCCCGGAGGCAGGAAGCCGCACGCAGUUGCCAGCAUCUGGAUGAGGGCAGACGCCGGGAGGAGGGGACCCGCAGUCGGAUCCCUGGGGCGACCAGGGGAAGGCCUUCUGGCUUGAGUGACAGUGUCACCCCUCCAGGGUCCCCUUGCCUGCUGCUGGACUCCUGGGUCUCUGUUCCUCCUCUGAAGCCUGAGCAGCCUCGCCACCUCCUUGCCCGAUAGACGACAGCAGAACUGACACCCUGGGACCUCUGAGGUUGGGUCGCAGAAUCGCAAUGUGGCUUCCACUCGUCUGCUGGGACCUCAUUCCUGGCGCUCUUAGCUACCAAGCCAGAAGUCCUCUGUGGGUGGAGGCCUCCAUGCCAUGAGGAAACCCAGGCCAUGUAAAUGGGCGCAUGUAAGUGCUCCUGUCAACAGCCCCCCCCCAGCUCACCGUCACCAUUGAUGGUCAGACAUGCCAGUGCACGAGCCCCCUGUGACUCCAGACCCCAGUGUAAACUCACCUGCACCACUGAGGCCCCACACAGCACAGAGCAGCUACAAGCUGUCCCCCCUGCACCUGCACAAAUGCCGGAACUACGGAGCCCAGGAGCAUAAUAAAAUGCUGUCCCUGGGCCUCAGUUUGUUCAUCUGGAAAAUGGGAGUACGGACUCCUCCCUGGUGCCCAGUAAAUGCAAGGAUUGAGCCUUAGGAGCACCCACGGCGACCCUGCCUGAGACUCGGCUCCUCACCUGCCAAAGGAGGAGAAUAAUCACUGGGAUGUCUCUUGCGGGGGCUGUGAGCCCUGGAGAUGGCCAGACUGGAAGGUUCCAGAGGGUUCCAGAGGGUUCCACCAGGAACAACGGGAACCCAGGCUGCCCAGGGAACGGCUCCAGCUCAGCCGCCCCAUCUGGAUGGCCCAACCUCGGACUCGGGGUCCCUGGGGCUCUGCUGCCCUCCAGUGGCCAGAGGCCCCCCGGGCACUUAGAACCUGCGAGCUUCUGGCUCCUUCCACCAGCAGCCGCCGCCCUAGGA